CCCUUAGAUGUUCUGGGCCGCACGCGCGCUACACUGAUCAGUGCAACAAGCAUCCGUCCUUGGCCGACAGGCCCGGGCAAUCUUUGAACGCUGAUCGUGAUGGGGAUAGACUUUUGCAAUUUUUGGUCUUCAACGAGGAAUUCCUAGUAAACGCAAGUCAUCAACUUGCAUUGAUUACGUCCCUACCCUUUGUACACACCGCCCGUCGCACCUACCGAUUGAAUGGUCCGGUGAAGCCUCCGGAUUGGCGUGCACCCUCGGGUGCUGCCGAGAAGUUGGCUAAACCUUACCAUUUAGAGGAAGGUGAAGUCGUAACA
Molecule: ribosomal RNA, 317 nt
Filed under: uncultured eukaryote
Lineage: Eukaryota
Description: partial 18S ribosomal RNA
Rfam family: Eukaryotic small subunit ribosomal RNA
Source: RNAcentral